This 1457-nucleotide ribosomal RNA is filed under the name Bacillus pumilus. Its description in RNAcentral is "bacterial SSU rRNA". It matches the Rfam family "Bacterial small subunit ribosomal RNA". Lineage: Bacteria; Bacillati; Bacillota; Bacilli; Caryophanales; Bacillaceae. The record is from RNAcentral.
CGAACGCUGGCGGCGUGCCUAAUACAUGCAAGUCGAGCGGACAGAAGGGAGCUUGCUCCCGGAUGUUAGCGGCGGACGGGUGAGUAACACGUGGGUAACCUGCCUGUAAGACUGGGAUAACUCCGGGAAACCGGAGCUAAUACCGGAUAGUUCCUUGAACCGCAUGGUUCAAGGAUGAAAGACGGUUUCGGCUGUCACUUACAGAUGGACCCGCGGCGCAUUAGCUAGUUGGUGAGGUAACGGCUCACCAAGGCGACGAUGCGUAGCCGACCUGAGAGGGUGAUCGGCCACACUGGGACUGAGACACGGCCCAGACUCCUACGGGAGGCAGCAGUAGGGAAUCUUCCGCAAUGGACGAAAGUCUGACGGAGCAACGCCGCGUGAGUGAUGAAGGUUUUCGGAUCGUAAAGCUCUGUUGUUAGGGAAGAACAAGUGCAAGAGUAACUGCUUGCACCUUGACGGUACCUAACCAGAAAGCCACGGCUAACUACGUGCCAGCAGCCGCGGUAAUACGUAGGUGGCAAGCGUUGUCCGGAAUUAUUGGGCGUAAAGGGCUCGCAGGCGGUUUCUUAAGUCUGAUGUGAAAGCCCCCGGCUCAACCGGGGAGGGUCAUUGUAAACUGGGAAACUUGAGUGCAGAGUAGGAGAGUGGAAUUCCACGUGUAGCGGUGAAAUGCGUAGAGAUGUGGAGGAACACCAGUGGCGAAGGCGACUCUCUGGUCUGUAACUGACGCUGAGGAGCGAAAGCGUGGGGAGCGAACAGGAUUAGAUACCCUGGUAGUCCACGCCGUAAACGAUGAGUGCUAAGUGUUAGGGGGUUUCCGCCCCUUAGUGCUGCAGCUAACGCAUUAAGCACUCCGCCUGGGGAGUACGGUCGCAAGACUGAAACUCAAAGGAAUUGACGGGGGCCCGCACAAGCGGUGGAGCAUGUGGUUUAAUUCGAAGCAACGCGAAGAACCUUACCAGGUCUUGACAUCCUCUGACAACCCUAGAGAUAGGGCUUUCCCUUCGGGGACAGAGUGACAGGUGGUGCAUGGUUGUCGUCAGCUCGUGUCGUGAGAUGUUGGGUUAAGUCCCGCAACGAGCGCAACCCUUGAUCUUAGUUGCCAGCAUUCAGUUGGGCACUCUAAGGUGACUGCCGGUGACAAACCGGAGGAAGGUGGGGAUGACGUCAAAUCAUCAUGCCCCUUAUGACCUGGGCUACACACGUGCUACAAUGGACAGAACAAAGGGCUGCGAGACCGCAAGGUUUAGCCAAUCCCACAAAUCUGUUCUCAGUUCGGAUCGCAGUCUGCAACUCGACUGCGUGAAGCUGGAAUCGCUAGUAAUCGCGGAUCAGCAUGCCGCGGUGGAAUAACGUUCCCCGGGCCUUGUACACACCGCCCCGUCACACCACGAGAGUUUGCAACACCCGAAGUCGGUGAGGUAACCUUUAUGGAGCCAGCCGCCGAAAGUGGG